Molecule: ribosomal RNA, 402 nt
Filed under: uncultured bacterium
Lineage: Bacteria
Description: bacterial SSU rRNA
Rfam family: Bacterial small subunit ribosomal RNA
Source: RNAcentral
AGAAAAAAGCCGUGACUAAUAAUCAUGGUUCAUGACGGUAUCAACAGAAGAAGCACCGGCUAACUACGUGCCAGCAGCCGCGGUAAUACGUAGGGUGCAAGCGUUAAUCGGAAUUACUGGGCGUAAAGGGUGCGCAGGCGGUUCUGUAAGUCAGAUGUGAAAAUCCCCGGGCUUAACCUGGGAACUGCGUUUGAAACUGCAGAGCUAGAGUGCGGCAGAGGGAGGUGGAAUUCCAUGUGUAGCAGUGAAAUGCGUAGAGAUAUGGAAGAACAUCGAUGGCGAAGGCAACCUCCUGGCUAGCACUGACGCUCAUGCACGAAAAGCGUGGGGAGCAAACAGGAUUAGAUACCCUGGUAGUCCACGCCCUAAACCUAUGUCAACUAGUUGUCGGGCCUUAAUAGG